GAUGAACGCUGGCGGCGUGCCUAAUACAUGCAAGUCGAGCGAACGGACGAGAAGCUUGCUUCUCUGAUGUUAGCGGCGGACGGGUGAGUAACACGUGGAUAACCUACCUAUAAGACUGGGAUAACUUCGGGAAACCGGAGCUAAUACCGGAUAAUAUUUUGAACCGCAUGGUUCAAAAGUGAAAGACGGUCUUGCUGUCACUUAUAGAUGGAUCCGCGCUGCAUUAGCUAGUUGGUAAGGUAACGGCUUACCAAGGCAACGAUGCAUAGCCGACCUGAGAGGGUGAUCGGCCACACUGGAACUGAGACACGGUCCAGACUCCUACGGGAGGCAGCAGUAGGGAAUCUUCCGCAAUGGGCGAAAGCCUGACGGAGCAACACCGCGUGAGUGAUGAAGGUCUUCGGAUCGUAAAACUCUGUUAUUAGGGAAGAACAUAUGUGUAAGUAACUGUGCACAUCUUGACGGUACCUAAUCAGAAAGCCGCGGCUAACUACG
RNAcentral lists this ribosomal RNA (495 nucleotides) under uncultured bacterium. Its description in RNAcentral is "partial 16S ribosomal RNA". It matches the Rfam family "Bacterial small subunit ribosomal RNA", at positions 28 to 505 of the family's 1533-position model. The record is from RNAcentral.